UGUGCACACUGUUAGAGCCCGUCACCAUUGUUGGUGUUUGGGUGUCGGAGGUGUGCUAAAGUAAACCGGCCGGGUUUUCGCUAACACCAUGAGGACUUCCUGUCCCAUGACUGGGGUUUGAUAGUAACCUGAGCCACACUU
Small nucleolar RNA from Silurus meridionalis, 141 nucleotides. The record is from RefSeq and is a predicted model, not a curated record. Lineage: Eukaryota; Metazoa; Chordata; Actinopteri; Siluriformes; Siluridae.